RNAcentral lists this long non-coding RNA (6758 nucleotides) under Zea mays. RNAcentral describes it as "long non-coding RNA (ZMAY_LNC001786)". The record is from RNAcentral. Lineage: Eukaryota; Viridiplantae; Streptophyta; Magnoliopsida; Poales; Poaceae.
AACAUACUAGUCAUUAAUAAUCUGCUAGCAAUGAGAAGAUAACCAUAACGACAUGAACUGAAUUAACUAAUGUGCACCACUAGUUAAAAAAACAAACAUCCUUUGACAAGAAGUUUCUAAUUAAAUUAUGGUUGUGCCUGGGCAGCGUUAUUAUGAGAGUGAAUGUGGACGUGCUGCUACUUCCCUCAUUCCCAACAUGAAUCAAGUACCUGCAUUGAGUAAUGCAAGAGUGAGAUGAAACAUCUCAGCAAGUAAAUUGUUUUGAGGAGAUAUUUAAACCAAAAAAUUGGAUUAAUCAACAUUUUAAAGUGAUCACAAUUGAGAUCAGAAAUACUUCUAGAUAUAGAACUCAAUAGUCCCAAAAUAACCAAUGCCAUCUCAUUUCCACGAACAACCACAAUAUGUUGUAUAACACUUCCCUACGUCAACAUUACCUGCAAAUAUCACUUCAAUGUAUUCAUAGGAAUGCAAUGUAUAAGUCCUCUGCUUUCAUACCUCUUAGAGUAUAAAACCACACCAUCUGCAAAUAUCACUUCAAUGAAUGCAUAUGAAUGCAAUGCAUAUGUCCUCUGCUUUCAUACCUCUUAGAGUAUAAAACCACACCAUCUGCAAAUAUCACUUCAAUGAAUGAAUAUGAAUGCAAUGCAUAUGUCCUCUGCCUUCAUACCUCUACGGGUAUGAAGCCGCAUCGUACCCCUCCUCGGGCAACGUACGAUGCUAAGUUGUACCGGUACGGUCGGACCAUAGGUCACGACAAAACUUCAGAUGCAAGUGAAUCAUGCAAUGUAUAUGGCAUGCUGUAUUUAUCAAUAUACUUCACUUCCUUCACAUACAAUACAAAUCUCAAACAAUACUUCGUUUACCUUCAGAUACAAUAUAAACCUCAAAUAAUACUUCAUUUACCUUCAGGGGUGUGAAUUAAUCUCGUGGGUCAUACUCAAAUCAUCAUCAUCAUCAAUAUAUGAUUAAGAAUCAAUAUAAUACAAUCAAGUAAAGCAUCACCAUAGGGUUCAAUUAUGAAAGGAUUCGAUGAUUCUGAAUAUUAGAGUGUAGGCGAUGAAACAACAAGUCAAAACGGUAGCAACCACCGCUACAUUCACUUGCCUUCAUCGAAGAAGAAAAAUGUACUAGGCAUGAUCCAGAGUGUAGACACCUGUUGUGGGGCAUAAAACUUAGUACACAUAUUUCACUAACAUUUGCCAACAAUCAACAAAUCACUACUAAACCAAGAUCCGGUGUAAUGACUCCCACCCUGAACCACAUGUCAAACAGCAGCAGCGCUGUUUGUUAGUUUUGUAUCUUAAAAAUUAUAACAGUAGUGAUAUCAAACAAAUACUCUAGGAGUAUCUACACAAAAUACUCUACAACUUCGGUAUUCAAUGGAUAAUUAGAUUCUGCCGUCUAUAAGUUCUAAAACAUCUGACAAGAUAACUGACUGAAUCUGUUUCAGACAUCAGCAUAGUUAACUUCAAAAUUCGAUAUCUCCCAAACUACUCAACCAAAAAUAAUGAAAUUCUGCUGUAAGUAAGAGCUUUUAUCCCUCUACAAAAGUCUCCAUAGUUGGAACAGCCAAUUCAGCCAUUUACUAGAUCAAACCUACCAGUGAACAGACCCGCUCAUUUUUGUUAGGCAAACAGGAACAGCCACAGUAAAACAAACAUAACUGGAGUUUCAAAAUUCAUAUGAAUGCACUCUUUAACAAUCUGGAAAGCUUAUGAAAUUAUCUACAACUUCUUUUACCAACCUAAAGUUUAAUUCUGUCGAUAAAAUUACCUAAAUCUUAAGAGAACAGAUUCUGCACAGAAUUAUGAGACUGAAAAACUGCUAUAAUCAAACUGCAAUAACUUUCUGAUCUAAUAUUCGAUUGAGGUGUUCUUCGCGGCCACGGAAAGAUCUACAAAUUAUCUACGACUUAUAUAUAGACUUUUUAUUUUUUUGAGGCCACUAAGACCACGGAAAACUGGCAUGAACAGAAACUGUUGAAUCUGCCAUUCUGCAGGAAACUAAAUUCGAGAUCAAAACCUAACCCCACAUCUAAUCCAACCUCUAAUCCUUUAAUCCCCAUGAUCCAUAACCUCCAAAAGCACAUAAUUACAGGGAGGAACAAGGAUCCCAUCCAUACCUAGGGUUUCCCUGAGAAAUUCUGCAAGAAGAGAUGGGGAAGAACAUCUCCUUGAUCCUCUCUUCCACUUUAAUUCAACGUGCUCCUCCUCUUCUCGAUCCUUGCUGCGUGGGGAAGAUUAGAGGGAGGAGGAAGCCGUGGAGAGGGUAGAGGGCGGCUGCCCAAGGGGAGGAGAGGAAGAGGGAGGGGGCGGCCAAAGGGGUGGAAAGGGUGGGGGCGGCUGCAACAAUUGGGAGAAGAGGGGGUCGGCUAGGGUUGGGGAGGGGCGGGGCUCCCAUCCAUCGGAUCGAGAUCAAAGGCCCAAACAUGCUCUCCCAUCUGAGCUCCUGACCCCAGCGGAAAAAAUGCCAAAAUAUCUACUAUUUCCCUAAGGAAUGCCUCCUGAAACUCCAAACCCCAAUGCCACAGAACAUGAAAGAAAAGAGAAAAAUAAAUUUAACUUUUUUCAGAAAAUUGGGAUAUCACACUCUACCCCCCUUAAAAAGAAUUCGUCCUCGAAUUCGACCACUCCAAGCAAAGCAUCCAAGGUACCCCAUAUAUCACCACCAUUCAAAACAUGGGUCCAUUAUUGGUCUUAAUUAACACAAGAACUUCUACCUCGGACUAAUUGUCUAAGGAAACUACACAACCUGAUAUCCAGCAUGAAACAACAUGCAAUGAAGCUCAAAGCAAGUCAUAGAUGCAAUCAACACUACGAUUUCACACCAUCGAAUUUGGAUGCAGCUAUACAUCAACAUCAAUGUCUUCAAACAACACUCUUUUAUGAAGGGGUAAUAUGCACUAAGCACAACCCUUACCAGCUUCAACAAUUCAUUUUAAUUCAAUGGUGAAACAUCCACACCAGAUGAAUAUAUAAGAAGAUCAAACACCUCACCUCAAAGCACCACAAAACAAAUGGUUCUAUUGAAACAAAACUCCUAAUCUUCCUAAAACUUGUUCUUGCCAUCAUGAAAAGAUAAUCAUGUAAUCUCACAUUCUUUGCACCCCACAAAAGGGAGAUAGUCUAUAGAACUAAUGGAGCAAUAAAGUCGGCAAGAAGCCAAUAACAUUCUAUGCGGCACAGUUCAUCAAAGAAAUGCCAAAACUCCACAAAGAGCACUGACAGCACAAUAACAACACAAUACUUGCUUAACCAAUGUCACUAUGCUUCAUCCAAAACUCAACUAAGAAAAUAUCCAAACUAGUAAGGUUAACCUACACAUAAUAUAAGACUUCAUCUACUGUAGUUCAGAAACUUACAUUUCAUUCUAUCAUACGAUGCACUCAAAAUACCAGACAUACAUGGUCAAUAAUAACCAUAUGAUCCUUCACACAUUGACAAACAUCUCAAGCUGAUGUAAAAACCACAUCAUUUAGGAAUAGGUGACUAACCACACCCAACCCACUCUAGGCUAGGCAAUAACUUCAUUCAAACUAAUAGAUAAGUGGUCCAACAAUGGCUCCACAAGCAUGCAUCAGGGAGAUAACCAUCAGAUCCCCAACGUAUUAAUAUAUAAUCAAUGGAUCAGGAAAAUCAAAGAUUUAUUCUACAAUUAGCAUGACUAACAUGCAACCACUUUAAACCACAUCUAGGCUUUGUGGCUACUAAAACACAAGAUAGAAGGGAGACAUGUAAGCCACUCUGGCUAGCUAUGUAAAGACUUCCCCCAAAAUCCAUAUAAAAGUACCAAUAUUCAUUUCUUUCAGAACUGGUUUCUCGGCAUAAACAAUCAUUCUUUGCAAAGAUAGUUGGAGCUAUCCACCAAACGCCCAACAACUUAAAUUCAAAUUGAUGGUUACCUUGUAACCCAAAACACGCAAUUCACACUCCUCUUAAAAACAUCCUCAAUCAAGCAUAUAUAACAAUUAUUGUAAUAAAACUCAACCAUGAAAAACAUGUUGAAAACAACAUAGGCAUGCAUGUAUAUCACAAGCAUAAUAACAACUUCAAUCUCACAAAAGACCAGCGAUAUCAAUGGUAUUAAUAAAACAAUAUCAAAAUUUAGAAAUGAAUUAUAUCAGCCAUUAAGUCAUAAACAACUUACCACAUCACCGUAAAGGAAUAUGGAGGGUGAAAUUAUUUCAUCUGCACUUCAAAAACAUUAACAUAUAUCAAAGAUAUUUGAACCCAUGCCCUUCCUAUAUGUGCAUCUGUGCAAUUUCAGGUUCAAUUUACCUAGAAUCUAAAGCCUAAGCUUUGAUACCAACUGUAACACCCUGGGAUCCACAAACACCUCGAAAUGCUACUAAACUACACAACUAAUAUUCAUAUAUAAAAUUUCGACAACAUCUCCUUUGAAAAUUUGCAUAAACGUGGAAGCAACAGAGUAUAAACAGAUAUCAUGACAAGAAAACAUACUAGUCAUUAAUAAUCUGCUAGCAAUGGGAAGAUAACCAUAACGAUAUGAACUAAAUUAACUAGUGUGCACGACUAGUUAAAAAACAAACAUCCUUUGACAAGAAGUUUCUAAUUAAAUUAUGGCAGUGCCUGGGCAGCGUUAUUAUGAGAGUGAAUGUGGACGUGCUGCUACUUCCCUCAUUCUCAACAUGAAUCAAGUACCUGCAUUGAGUAAUGCAAGAGUGAGAUGAAACAUCUCAGCAAGUAAAUUGUUUUGACGAGAUAUUUAAACCAAAAAAAUUGGAUUAAUCAACAUUUUAAAGGGAUCACAAUUGAGAUCAGAAAUACUUGUAGAUAUAGAACUCAAUAGUCCCAAAAUAACCAAUGCCAUCUCAUUUCCUCGAACAACCACAAUAUGUUGUAUAACACUUCCCUGCGUCAACAUUACCUGCAAAUAUCACUUCAAUGUAUCCAUAGGAAUGCAAUGUGUAAGUCCUCUGCUUUCAUAACUCUUAGAGUAUAAAACCACACCAUCUGCAAAUAUCACUUCAAUGAAUGCAAUGCAUAUGUCCUCUGCUUUCAUACCUCUUAGAGUAUAAAACCACACCAUCUGCAAAUAUCACUUCAAUGAAUGCAUAUGAAUGCAAUGCAUAUAUCCUCUGCCUUCAUACCUCUAAGGGUAUGAAGCCGCAUCGUACCCCUCCUCGAGCAACGUACGAUGCUAAGUUGUACCGGUACGGUCGGACCAUAGGUCACGACAAAACUUCAGAUGCAAGUGAAUCAUGCAAUGUAUAUGGCAUGCUGCAUUUAUCAAUAUACUUCACUUCCUUCACAUACAAUACAAAUCUCAAACAAUACUUCAUUUACCUUCAGAUACAAUAUAAACUUCAAAUAAUACUUCAUUUACCUUCAGGGGUGUGAAUUAAUCUCGUGGGUCAUACUCAAAUCAUCAUCAUCAUCAUCAAUAUAUGAUUAAGAAUCAAUAUAAUACAAUCAAGUAAAGCAUCACCAUAGGGUUCAAUUAUGAAAGGAUUCGAUGAUUCUGAAUAUUAGAGUGUAGGCGAUGAAACAACAAGUCAAAAUAGUAGCAACCACCGCUACAUUCACUUGGCUUCAUCGAAGAAGAAAAAUGUACUAGACAUGAUCCAGAGUGUAGACACCUGCUGCGGGUCAUAAAACUUAGUACAUAUAUUUCACUAACAUUUGCCAACAAUCAACAAAUCGCUACUAAACUAAGAUCCGGUGGAAUGACUCCCACCCUGAACUACAUGCCAAACAGCAGCAGCGCUGUUUGUUAGUUUUGUAUCUUUAAAAUUAUAACAGUGGUGAUAUAAAACAAAUACUCUAGGAGUAUCUACAUAAAAUACUCUACAACUUCGGUAUUCAAUGGAUAAUUACAUUCUGUCAUCUAUAAGUUCUAAAAUAUCUAACAAGAUAACUGACUGAAUCUGUUUCAGACAGCAGCAUAGUUAACUUCAAAAUUCGAUAUCUCCCAAACUACUCAACCAAAAAUCAUUAAAUUCUGCAGGCAGUAAGAACUUUUUUGCGUCUACAAAAGUCUCCAUAGUUGGAAGAGCAAAUUCGGCCAUUUACUAGAUGAAACCUACCAGUGAAUAGACUCGCUCAUUUUUGUCAGGCAAACAGGAACAGCCACAGUAAAACAAAUAUAACUGGAGUUUCAAAAUUCAUAUGAAUGCACUCUUUAACAAUCUGGAAAGCUUAUGAAAUUAUCUACAACUUCUUUUACCAACCUAAAGUUUAAUUCUGUCGAUAAAAUUGCCUAAAUCUUAAGAGAACAGAUUCUGCACAGAAUUAUGAGACUGAAAAACUGCUAUAAUCAAACUGCAAUAACUUUCUGAUCUAAUAUUCGAUUGAGGUGUUCUUCGCGGCCACGGAAAGAUCUACAAAUUAUCUACGACUUAUAUAUAGACUUUUUAUUUUUUUGAGGCCACUAAGAUCAUGGAAAACUGGCAUGAACAGAAACUGUCGAAUCUGCCAUUCUGCAGAAAACUAAAUUCGAGAUCAAAACCUAACCCCACAUCUAAUCCAACCUCUAAUCAUUUAAUCCCCAUGAUCCAUAACCUCCAAAAGCACAUAAUUACAGGGAGGAACAAGGAUCCCAUCCAUACCUAGGGUUUCCCCAAGAAAUUCUGCAAGAAGAGAUGGGGAAGAACAUCUCCUUGAUCCUCUCUUCCACUUCAAUUAAACGUGCUUCUCCUCUUCUCGAUCCUUGCUGCGUGGGGGAGAUCUAGAGGGAGGAAGAAGUCGUGGAGAGGGUAGAGGGCGGCUGCCCAAGGGGAGGAGAGGAAGAGGGAGGGG